UACGUAGGGGGCAAGCGUUAUCCGGAUUUACUGGGUGUAAAGGGAGCGUAGACGGCACUGCAAGUCCGGAGUGAAAGCCCAAGGCUUAACCAUGGAACUGCUUUGGAAACUGUGCAGCUGGAGUGCAGGAGAGGUAAGCGGAAUUCCUAGUGUAGCGGUGAAAUGCGUAGAUAUCAGGAGGAACACCGGUGGCGAAGGCGGCCUGCUGGACUGCAACUGACGUUGAGGCCCGAAAGCGUGGGGAGCAAACAGG
RNAcentral lists this ribosomal RNA (253 nucleotides) under uncultured Eubacteriales bacterium. Its description in RNAcentral is "uncultured Clostridiales bacterium partial 16S ribosomal RNA". It matches the Rfam family "Bacterial small subunit ribosomal RNA", at positions 524 to 776 of the family's 1533-position model. Lineage: Bacteria; Bacillati; Bacillota; Clostridia; Eubacteriales. The record is from RNAcentral.